GCAACGCGAAGACCUUACCUACUCUUGACAUCCAGAGAACUUUCCAGAGAUGGAUUGGUGCCUUCGGGAACUCUGAGACAGGUGCUGCAUGGCUGUCGUCAGCUCGUGUUGUGAAAUGUUGGGUUAAGUCCCGCAACGAGCGCAACCCUUAUCCUUUGUUGCCAGCGGUUAGGCCGGGAACUCAAAGGAGACUGCCAGUGAUAAACUGGAGGAAGGUGGGGAUGACGUCAAGUCAUCAUGGCCCUUACGAGUAGGGCUACACACGUGCUACAAUGGCGCAUACAAAGAGAAGCGACCUCGCGAGAGCAAGCGGACCUCAUAAAGUGCGUCGUAGUCCGGAUUGGAGUCUGCAACUCGACUCCAUGAAGUCGGAAUCGCUAGUAAUCGUAGAUCAGAAUGCUACGGUGAAUACGUUCCCGGGCCUUGUACACACCGCCCGUCACACCAUGGGAGUGGGUUGCAAAAGAAGUAGGUAGCUUAACCUUCGGGAGGGCGCUUACCACUUUGUGAUUCAUGACUGGGGUGAAGUCGUAACAAGGUAGCC
RNAcentral lists this ribosomal RNA (544 nucleotides) under Enterobacter sp. P8(2013). Its description in RNAcentral is "bacterial SSU rRNA". It matches the Rfam family "Bacterial small subunit ribosomal RNA", at positions 956 to 1501 of the family's 1533-position model. The record is from RNAcentral. Lineage: Bacteria; Pseudomonadati; Pseudomonadota; Gammaproteobacteria; Enterobacterales; Enterobacteriaceae.